UCGAACGAGUUCUCGUUGAUGAUCGGUGCUUGCACCGAGAUUCAACAUGGAACGAGUGGCGGACGGGUGAGUAACACGUGGGUAACCUGCCCUUAAGUGGGGGAUAACAUUUGGAAACAGAUGCUAAUACCGCAUAGAUCCAAGAACCGCAUGGUUCUUGGCUGAAAGAUGGCGUAAGCUAUCGCUUUUGGAUGGACCCGCGGCGUAUUAGCUAGUUGGUGAGGUAAUGGCUCACCAAGGCGAUGAUACGUAGCCGAACUGAGAGGUUGAUCGGCCACAUUGGGACUGAGACACGGCCCAAACUCCUACGGGAGGCAGCAGUAGGGAAUCUUCCACAAUGGACGCAAGUCUGAUGGAGCAACGCCGCGUGAGUGAAGAAGGCUUUCGGGUCGUAAAACUCUGUUGUUGGAGAAGAAUGGUCGGCAGAGUAACUGUUGUCGGCGUGACGGUAUCCAACCAGAAAGCCACGGCUAACUACGUGCCAGCAGCCGCGGUAAUACGUAGGUGGCAAGCGUUAUCCGGAUUUAUUGGGCGUAAAGCGAGCGCAGGCGGUUUUUUAAGUCUGAUGUGAAAGCCCUCGGCUUAACCGAGGAAGCGCAUCGGAAACUGGGAAACUUGAGUGCAGAAGAGGACAGUGGAACUCCAUGUGUAGCGGUGAAAUGCGUAGAUAUAUGGAAGAACACCAGUGGCGAAGGCGGCUGUCUGGUCUGUAACUGACGCUGAGGCUCGAAAGCAUGGGUAGCGAACAGGAUUAGAUACCCUGGUAGUCCAUGCCGUAAACGAUGAAUGCUAGGUGUUGGAGGGUUUCCGCCCUUCAGUGCCGCAGCUAACGCAUUAAGCAUUC
RNAcentral lists this ribosomal RNA (844 nucleotides) under uncultured bacterium. Its description in RNAcentral is "bacterial SSU rRNA". It matches the Rfam family "Bacterial small subunit ribosomal RNA", at positions 62 to 869 of the family's 1533-position model. The record is from RNAcentral.